RNAcentral lists this ribosomal RNA (384 nucleotides) under uncultured bacterium. RNAcentral's name for it is "bacterial SSU rRNA". It matches the Rfam family "Bacterial small subunit ribosomal RNA", at positions 37 to 449 of the family's 1533-position model. The record is from RNAcentral.
UGGCGGCAGGCUUAACACAUGCAAAGUCGAACGCCCCGCAAAGGGGAGUGGCAGACGGGUGAGUAACGCGUGGGAACAUACCCUUUCCUGCGGAAUAGCUCCGGGAAACUGGAAUUAAUACCGCAUACGCCCUACGGGGGAAAGAUUUAUCGGGGAAGGAUUGACCCGCGUUGGAUUAGCUAGUUGGUGGGGUAAAGGCCUACCAAGGCGACGAUCCAUAGCUGGUCUGAGAGGAUGAUCAGCCACAUUGGGACUGAGACACGGCCCAAACUCCUACGGGAGGCAGCAGUGGGGAAUAUUGGACAAUGGGCGCAAGCCUGAUCCAGCCAUGCCGCGUGAGUGAUGAAGGCCUUAGGGUUGUAAAGCUCUUUCACCGGAGAAGAU